RNAcentral lists this ribosomal RNA (1235 nucleotides) under metagenome. RNAcentral describes it as "bacterial LSU rRNA". It matches the Rfam family "Bacterial large subunit ribosomal RNA", at positions 1564 to 2808 of the family's 2925-position model. The record is from RNAcentral.
UGAAUACGAGAUGCUACGGCGUCGAAGCAGUGUAUGUCAGACUUCCAAGGAAAGCUCGCAAUGUCAUAAAUAAAGAAUGCCUGUACCAUAACCGACACAGGUGGGUAGGUAGAGUAUACUAAGGGGCGCGAGAUAACUCUCUCUAAGGAACUCGGCAAAAUAACUCCGUAACUUCGGGAGAAGGAGUGCCUUCUUUAAGAAGGUUGCAAUAACAAGAUCCAAGCAACUGUUUAUCAAAAACACAGGUCUCCGCUAAGUCGUAAGACGAUGUAUGGGGGCUGACGCCUGCCCAGUGCCAGAAGGUUAAAGAAGUUGGUUAGCUUUUGCGAAGCUGAUGACUGAAGCCCUGGUGAACGGCGGCCGUAACUAUAACGGUCCUAAGGUAGCGAAAUUCCUUGUCGGGUAAGUUCCGACCCGCACGAAAGGCGUAAUGAUUUGGAUACUGUCUCGGAGAGGGACUCGGUGAAAUAGACUUGUCUGUGAAGAUGCGGACUACCUGCACCAGGACAGAAAGACCCUAUGAAGCUUUACUGUAACUUGAAAUUGAAAUUGGACUUUAUUUGCGCAGUAUAGGUGGAAGGCGUUGAAAGUAAUCUUGCGGGAUUAGUGGAGCCAUCAGUGAGAUACCACUCCUAUAAUGUUAGAUUUCUAACUUUGGAUCAUGAUCUGGUCAAAGAACAGUUUCAGGCGGGCAGUUUGACUGGGGCGGUCGCCUCCCAAAUGGUAACGGAGGCGUACAAAGGUUUCCUCUGAACGGGUAGAAAUCGUAUCUAGAGUGUAAAGGCAUAAGGAAGCUUGACUGUGAGACCUACAAGUCGAGCAGGGACGAAAGUCGGUCUUAGUGAUCUGACGGUGCUGAGUGGAAAGGCCGUCACUCAACGGAUAAAAGUUACUCUAGGAUAACAGGCUGAUCUCCCCCAAGAGUUCACAUCGACGGGGAGGUUUGGCACCUCGAUGUCGGCUCAUCGCAUCCUGGGGCGGUAGUACGUCCCAAGGGUUGGGCUGUUCGCCCAUGAAAGCGGUACGCGAGCUGGGUUCAGAACGUCGUGAGACAGUUCGGUCCAUAUCCGGUGUAGGCGUUAGAAUAUUGAGAGGAGCCUUCUUUAGUACGAGAGGACCGAGAAGGACAUACCUCUGGUGUACCAGUUAUCGUGCCAACGGUAAACGCUGGGUAGCUAUGUAUGGAGAGGAUAACCGCUGAAAGCACCUAAGUGGGAAGCCCACCUCAAGAUGAG